This 68-nucleotide ribosomal RNA is filed under the name Streptococcus salivarius. RNAcentral describes it as "partial 16S ribosomal RNA". Lineage: Bacteria; Bacillati; Bacillota; Bacilli; Lactobacillales; Streptococcaceae. The record is from RNAcentral.
GGUGAGGUAACCUUUUGGAGCCAGCCGCCUAAGGUGGGAUAGAUGAUUGGGGUGAAGUCGUAACAAGG